CUCAGGACGAACGCUGGCGGCGUGCGUAAUACAUGCAAGUCGAACGCUUCUUUCCUCCCGAGUGCUUGCACUCRAUUGGAAAGAGGAGUGGCGGACGGGUGAGUAACACGUGGGUAACCUACCCAUCAGAGGGGGAUAACACUUGGAAACAGGUGCUAAUACCGCAUAACAGUUUAUGCCGCAUGGCAUAAGAGUGAAAGGCGCUUUCGGGUGUCGCUGAUGGAUGGACCCGCGGUGCAUUAGCUAGUUGGUGAGGUAACGGCUCACCAAGGCCACGAUGCAUAGCCGACCUGAGAGGGUGAUCGGCCACACUGGGACUGAGACACGGCCCAGACUCCUACGGGAGGCAGCAGUAGGGAAUCUUCGGCAAUGGACGAAAGUCUGACCGAGCAACGCCGCGUGAGUGAAGAAGGUUUUCGGAUCGUAAAACUCUGUUGUUAGAGAAGAACAAGGACGUUAGUAACUGAACGUCCCCUGACGGUAUCUAACCAGAAAGCCACGGCUAACUACGUGCCAGCAGCCGCGGUAAUACGUAGGUGGCAAGCGUUGUCCGGAUUUAUUGGGCGUAAAGCGAGCGCAGGCGGUUUCUUAAGUCUGAUGUGAAAGCCCCCGGCUCAACCGGGGAGGGUCAUUGGAAACUGGGAGACUUGAGUGCAGAAGAGGAGAGUGGAAUUCCAUGUGUAGCGGUGAAAUGCGUAGAUAUAUGGAGGAACACCAGUGGCGAAGGCGGCUCUCUGGUCUGUAACUGACGCUGAGGCUCGAAAGCGUGGGGAGCAAACAGGAUUAGAUACCCUG
This 795-nucleotide ribosomal RNA is filed under the name Enterococcus faecalis. Its description in RNAcentral is "bacterial SSU rRNA". It matches the Rfam family "Bacterial small subunit ribosomal RNA", at positions 23 to 789 of the family's 1533-position model. The record is from RNAcentral. Lineage: Bacteria; Bacillati; Bacillota; Bacilli; Lactobacillales; Enterococcaceae.